GAUGAACGCUGACAGAAUGCUUAACACAUGCAAGUCCACUUGAACUUCGGUUUGGGUGGCGGACGGGUGAGUAACACGUGGAUAACCUACCUAUAAGACUGGGAUAACUUCGGGAAACCGGAGCUAAUACCGGAUGAUAUUUUGAACCGCAUGGUUCAAAAGUGAAAGACGGUCUUGCUGUCACUUAUAGAUGGAUCCGCGCUGCAUUAGCUAGUUGGUAAGGUAACGGCUUACCAAGGCAACGAUGCAUAGCCGACCUGAGAGGGUGAUCGGCCACACUGGAACUGAGACACGGUCCAGACUCCUACGGGAGGCAGCAGUAGGGAAUCUUCCGCAAUGGGCGAAAGCCUGACGGAGCAACGCCGCGUGAGUGAUGAAGGUCUUCGGAUCGUAAAACUCUGUUAUUAGGGAAGAACAUAUGUGUAAGUAACUGUGCACAUCUUGACGGUACCUAAUCAGAAAGCCACGGCUAACUACGUG
This 480-nucleotide ribosomal RNA is filed under the name uncultured bacterium. RNAcentral describes it as "partial 16S ribosomal RNA". It matches the Rfam family "Bacterial small subunit ribosomal RNA", at positions 28 to 507 of the family's 1533-position model. The record is from RNAcentral.